Molecule: ribosomal RNA, 310 nt
Filed under: uncultured bacterium
Lineage: Bacteria
Description: partial 16S ribosomal RNA
Rfam family: Bacterial small subunit ribosomal RNA
Source: RNAcentral
AAGAGACAGCAGUCGCCGCGGUAAAACGGAGGGUGCAAGCGUUAUCCGGAUUUAUUGGGUUUAAAGGGUCCGUAGGCGGACUUAUAAGUCAGUGGUGAAAGCCUGUCGCUUAACGAUAGAACUGCCAUUGAUACUGUAAGUCUUGAGUAUAUUUGAGGUAGCUGGAAUAAGUAGUGUAGCGGUGAAAUGCAUAGAUAUUACUUAGAACACCAAUUGCGAAGGCAGGUUACCAAGAUAUAACUGACGCUGAGGGACGAAAGCGUGGGUAGCGAACAGGAUUAGAUACCCGCGUAGUCCCUGUCUCUUAUAC